Arachis ipaensis is the source of this 252-nucleotide non-coding RNA. Lineage: Eukaryota; Viridiplantae; Streptophyta; Magnoliopsida; Fabales; Fabaceae. The record is from RefSeq and is a predicted model, not a curated record.
GGAUUGUUGCGUUAAAUUAGCGAUUGCGACAUCGAGUGACACAGGUUUGAAGACGCAAUAUGAAGCUGCAAGCGAUUAGUAGGUUUUCUUUAGGGUUUUAAUUGCUUUCAUAGAGUCCCCUCGCUGUUAUCCCUUGAGAUUUUAUUUUACAUAGAGGGGUAGGUUUGAUAUAUUAUAUUUGAGUUUCAUUUGGUUUCUUUUGUAUAAGAAUUAUUAUUAAUAAUAUUUAUGUGAUUAUUAUUACUUGUAAAU